GAAAGGAAGAUUAAUACCCCAUAAUAUAUUGAUUGGCAUCAGUUAAUAUGAAAACUCCGGUGGAUAGAGAUGGGCACGCGCAAGAUUAGAUAGUUGGUAGGGUAACGGCCUACCAAGUCAGUGAUCUUUAGGGGGCCUGAGAGGGUGAUCCCCCACACUGGUACUGAGACACGGACCAGACUCCUACGGGAGGCAGCAGUGAGGAAUAUUGGACAAUGGGUGAGAGCCUGAUCCAGCCAUCCCGCGUGAAGGACGACGGCCCUAUGGGUUGUAAACUUCUUUUGUAUAGGGAUAAACCUUUCCACGUGUGGAAAGCUGAAGGUACUAUACGAAUAAGCACCGGCUAACUCCGUGCCAGCAGCCGCGGUAAUACGGAGGGUGCAAGCGUUAUCCGGAUUUAUUGGGUUUAAAGGGUCCGUAGGCGGAUCUGUAAGUCAGUGGUGAAAUCUCAUAGCUUAACUAUGAAACUGCCAUUGAUACUGCAGGUCUUGAGUAAAGUAGAAGUGGCUGGAAUAAGUAGUGUAGCGGUGAAAUGCAUAGAUAUUACUUAGAACACCAAUUGCGAAGGCAGGUCACUAUGUUUUAACUGACGCUGAUGGACGAAAGCGUGGGGAGCGAAAC
This 621-nucleotide ribosomal RNA is filed under the name uncultured bacterium. RNAcentral's name for it is "bacterial SSU rRNA". It matches the Rfam family "Bacterial small subunit ribosomal RNA", at positions 153 to 774 of the family's 1533-position model. The record is from RNAcentral.